This 545-nucleotide ribosomal RNA is filed under the name Tricolia saxatilis. RNAcentral's name for it is "partial 16S ribosomal RNA". It matches the Rfam family "Bacterial large subunit ribosomal RNA", at positions 1809 to 2606 of the family's 2925-position model. The record is from RNAcentral. Lineage: Eukaryota; Metazoa; Mollusca; Gastropoda; Trochida; Phasianellidae.
AAAAACAUCGCUCUCUGACAUCACCAAUAUGGAGAGUUGGACCUGCCCGGUGACAUUUGUUUAACGGCUGCGGUUUUAUACCGCAUUAAAGUAGCAUAAUAAUUUGCCUCUUAAUUGAGGGCUAGUAUGAACGGUCUGACGAGAGCUUUGCUGUCUCUUUUUAAAUAUUUAAAAAUUAACCUCUAGGUGAAAAGGCCUAGACCAUAUUGAGGGACGAAAAGACCCUAUUGAGCUUUAGUAAAGCUGCAGAAUCUUUAGUAUCACUAGAUACACUACAUCAACCCCUUGUCUGCAACUAAUCUUUAACUGGGACGGCUAGGGAGCACCAAAAACCUCUCUAAAUAUUUCAAUUACAGGCCCACACGCCACAGAUCCAGUACUUUACCGAUCAAUGGAAAAAGUUACCAUAGGGAUAACAGCGUAAUUCCUUCAAAGAGCCCGUAUCAAAGAAGGAGUUUGCGACCUCGAUGUUGGAUUAAGAUACCCCAAGGGUGCAGAAGCUCUUGACGGUUGGUCUGUUCGACCAUUAAAAUCUUACGUGAUCU